GACCCGGGCUACGGGGCUCCGGGGCGUCUGGCCUGGGUGGGACUGAGCCCAUCCAGGGACUGGGACUCCGGGAUUCUGUUGUAGGUGGAUCUGGGGCAGGCUCAGGACCAAGUCCCUCUCCUUCCACCAAGGAGCGCCCAGAGGCCGGCGGGAGCUCCAGGUUCACCUCCUCCUCCUCCAGGAAAUCCCACUUCCAACUGGAUGAACUACUGAAAGCUGCUGAGUGUCCUGCAGCAGGUUUGACAGAAUUCAUGUUGCUGCCAUAGAGGGGCUCUUUUCAAACUGAUGUCUUAAAUCUUGUUCAGGCCGUUUCCAAUCCAGAGGAAGACCUUCUAGAAGAAGUGAUGGGUGGGAGAGUGCUGACAUACUAUGUGAAGCUACUAUUUGGAGUUGGACACGAGUGCAUGUGACCUUGUGCCACAGCGGGAAUCUUGACUACCACACAAAUUAAUCCACUCAAAUGUUGGCAAGUGGAGCAGAGUCCCAGGACAGUCUGCAAUCUCUACAGGUACAGAAACACCCCCAGUUCAAGGAUCUU
Molecule: long non-coding RNA, 538 nt
Filed under: Pan troglodytes (chimpanzee)
Lineage: Eukaryota; Metazoa; Chordata; Mammalia; Primates; Hominidae
Description: lincRNA
Source: RNAcentral